UGCGCGACACGGUGACGAAGGCGGUGUACGAUAACAGCCACUUCUUCACGUCGCAAGUGAAGUAAGUGGAGGUCCAUUGACCGUGUUGCACACGAUGCCCCUUGACUUUGCCGUGAGGAGGCACCGAGUUUUUGUCCAGCCAAGGUUCUUCCUGGAACGACCGAUUGUGAGACUGCGAAAACACCACUUUACGGUGACCGUCGCCGGUGGCUCGGUGGGCCGACACGUAGUAAUAGGGUUUCCACAGACUGCCGUUUCCGACCCAGACGAUCCUGGCCGCGUACAGGAACUUGUCCGAUAAGACCGUCUCUUGGGCGAAAGCCUUCAACAUAUCUGUAGCCAGAAAAGAAAGAUGAAUUCCGCCGGCCACACGCCUUCUACACUGAAAAAAAAUCGGCUUACCUGCGUCUGUUCUAGGAUAAUAAUCGGCUAAUAAUCGAGUGAUUAACUCGGUUUUUUGACGGACGGUUUCGAACAUUUUG
Molecule: long non-coding RNA, 482 nt
Filed under: Androctonus crassicauda
Lineage: Eukaryota; Metazoa; Arthropoda; Arachnida; Scorpiones; Buthidae
Source: RNAcentral